RNAcentral lists this ribosomal RNA (1179 nucleotides) under Kosakonia sp. NCCP-2493. RNAcentral describes it as "bacterial SSU rRNA". It matches the Rfam family "Bacterial small subunit ribosomal RNA", at positions 56 to 1230 of the family's 1533-position model. The record is from RNAcentral. Lineage: Bacteria; Pseudomonadati; Pseudomonadota; Gammaproteobacteria; Enterobacterales; Enterobacteriaceae.
UGCAGUCGAACGGUAACAGGAAGCAGCUUGCUGCUUUGCUGACGAGUGGCGGACGGGUGAGUAAUGUCUGGGAAACUGCCUGAUGGAGGGGGAUAACUACUGGAAACGGUAGCUAAUACCGCAUAACGUCGCAAGACCAAAGAGGGGGACCUUCGGGCCUCUUGCCAUCAGAUGUGCCCAGAUGGGAUUAGCUAGUAGGUGGGGUAACGGCUCACCUAGGCGACGAUCCCUAGCUGGUCUGAGAGGAUGACCAGCCACACUGGAACUGAGACACGGUCCAGACUCCUACGGGAGGCAGCAGUGGGGAAUAUUGCACAAUGGGCGCAAGCCUGAUGCAGCCAUGCCGCGUGUAUGAAGAAGGCCUUCGGGUUGUAAAGUACUUUCAGCGGGGAGGAAGGCGAUGUGGUUAAUAACCGCGUCGAUUGACGUUACCCGCAGAAGAAGCACCGGCUAACUCCGUGCCAGCAGCCGCGGUAAUACGGAGGGUGCAAGCGUUAAUCGGAAUUACUGGGCGUAAAGCGCACGCAGGCGGUCUGUCAAGUCGGAUGUGAAAUCCCCGGGCUCAACCUGGGAACUGCAUCCGAAACUGGCAGGCUUGAGUCUCGUAGAGGGGGGUAGAAUUCCAGGUGUAGCGGUGAAAUGCGUAGAGAUCUGGAGGAAUACCGGUGGCGAAGGCGGCCCCCUGGACGAAGACUGACGCUCAGGUGCGAAAGCGUGGGGAGCAAACAGGAUUAGAUACCCUGGUAGUCCACGCCGUAAACGAUGUCGACUUGGAGGUUGUGCCCUUGAGGCGUGGCUUCCGGAGCUAACGCGUUAAGUCGACCGCCUGGGGAGUACGGCCGCAAGGUUAAAACUCAAAUGAAUUGACGGGGGCCCGCACAAGCGGUGGAGCAUGUGGUUUAAUUCGAUGCAACGCGAAGAACCUUACCUGGUCUUGACAUCCACAGAACUUUCCAGAGAUGGAUUGGUGCCUUCGGGAACUGUGAGACAGGUGCUGCAUGGCUGUCGUCAGCUCGUGUUGUGAAAUGUUGGGUUAAGUCCCGCAACGAGCGCAACCCUUAUCCUUUGUUGCCAGCGGUUAGGCCGGGAACUCAAAGGAGACUGCCAGUGAUAACUGGAGGAAGGGGGGGAUGACGUCAGUCAUCAUGGCCCUUACAACCGGGCUACCACGUGCUACAU